UCUUGGCUCAGAUUGAACGCUGGCGGCAUGCCUUACACAUGCAAGUCGAACGGCAGCACGGGAGCAAUCCUGGUGGCGAGUGGCGAACGGGUGAGUAAUAUAUCGGAACGUGCCCAGUCGUGGGGGAUAACGUAGCGAAAGCUACGCUAAUACCGCAUACGAUCUAUGGAUGAAAGCGGGGGAUCGCAAGACCUCGCGCGAUUGGAGCGGCCGAUAUCAGAUUAGGUAGUUGGUGGGGUAAAAGCCUACCAAGCCUUCGAUCUGUAGCUGGUCUGAGAGGACGACCAGCCACACUGGAACUGAGACACGGUCCAGACUCCUACGGGAGGCAGCAGUGGGGAAUUUUGGACAAUGGGCGCAAGCCUGAUCCAGCAAUGCCGCGUGCAGGAUGAAGGCCUUCGGGUUGUAAACUGCUUUUGUACGGAACGAAACGGCUCUUUCUAAUAAAGGGAGCUAAUGACGGUACCGUAAGAAUAAGCACCGGCUAACUACGUG
RNAcentral lists this ribosomal RNA (495 nucleotides) under uncultured bacterium. RNAcentral's name for it is "bacterial SSU rRNA". It matches the Rfam family "Bacterial small subunit ribosomal RNA", at positions 17 to 507 of the family's 1533-position model. The record is from RNAcentral.